This 686-nucleotide ribosomal RNA is filed under the name uncultured soil bacterium. Its description in RNAcentral is "bacterial SSU rRNA". It matches the Rfam family "Bacterial small subunit ribosomal RNA", at positions 55 to 714 of the family's 1533-position model. The record is from RNAcentral.
AUGCAAGUCGAGCGCUGAUUACAGGGUAGCAAUAUUCUGUGGUCGGAGCGGCGCAAGGGUGCGUAACACGUGGGUAAUCUGCCAUGAAGUUUGGAAUAACUUGCUGAAAGGCGAGCUAAUACCGGAUGUGACAAUUAGGAGGCAUCUUCCGAUUGUCAAAGCUGGGGACCGUAAGGCCUGGCGCUUCAUGAUGAGCCCGCGGCCUAUCAGCUAGUUGGUGAGGUAACGGCUCACCAAGGCUAAGACGGGUAGCUGGUCUGAGAGGACGACCAGCCACACUGGAACUGAGACACGGUCCAGACACCUACGGGUGGCAGCAGUCGAGAAUUUUUCACAAUGGGCGCAAGCCUGAUGGAGCGACGCCGCGUGGGGGAUGAAUGGCUUCGGCCCGUAAACCCCUGUCAUUUGCGAACAAAUUGGUUCAAUUAACACCUGAACCAUUGAUAGUAGCGAAAGAGGAAGGGACGGCUAACUCUGUGCCAGCAGCCGCGGUAAUACAGAGGUCCCAAGCGUUGUUCGGAUUCACUGGGCGUAAAGGGUGCGUAGGUGGUGAGGUAAGUCGGAUGUGAAAGCUCGGAGCUCAACUCCGAAAUGGCAUUGGAAACUACCUUGCUCGAGGGUUGGAGGGGGGACUGGAAUACUUGGUGUAGCAGUGAAAUGCGUAGAUAUCAAGUGGAACACCAGUG